Molecule: ribosomal RNA, 436 nt
Filed under: uncultured Anaerovibrio sp.
Lineage: Bacteria; Bacillati; Bacillota; Negativicutes; Selenomonadales; Selenomonadaceae
Description: bacterial SSU rRNA
Rfam family: Bacterial small subunit ribosomal RNA
Source: RNAcentral
ACGGGAGGCAGCAGUGGGGAAUAUUGGGCAAUGGGCGAAAGCCUGACCCAGCAAUGCCGCGUGAAGGAAGAAGGUCUUCGGAUUGUAAACUUCUUUUAUGAGGGACGAAGGAAUUGACGGUACCUCAUGAAUAAGCCACGGCUAACUACGUGCCAGCAGCCGCGGUAAUACGUAGGUGGCGAGCGUUGUCCGGAAUUAUUGGGCGUAAAGGGAGCGCAGGUGGGAUUGCAAGUCAGUCUUAAAAGUGCGGGGCUCAACCCCGUGAUGGGAUUGAAACUGCAGUUCUUGAGUGCAGGAGAGGAAAGCGGAAUUCCUAGUGUAGCGGUGAAAUGCGUAGAUAUUAGGAGGAACACCAGUGGCGAAGGCGGCUUUCUGGACUGUAACUGACACUGAGGCUCGAAAGCGUGGGGAGCGAACAGGAUUAGAUACCCUGGUA